UGUCUUUUAGAUAAAAUUUAAAGUCUGGUCUGCUCACUGAAAUUUUAAAGAGCCGCAGUAUACUGACUGUGCAAAGGUAGCAUAAUAAAUAGCUGUUUAAUUGUCAGCUUGUAUGAAAGAUUAGACGAAAGAUUAAUUUUCUUUGUUUUAUUAAAUUUAAUUUUAAUUUUAAGUGAAAAUGCUUAAGUGUUAUUAAUAGACGAGAAGACCCUAUAGAUUUUUAUUGGUGGUAUAAAUUUUAUAUAUUAGUUUAGUAUUUCAAUUUAAUUGGGGCGAUUUUUUAAUAUAAAAAACUUAAUUUUUUUUGACCAUAAAUUAUUGAAUAUUAUGAUCUAAAAUUUUUAAAGAAAGAUUAAAUUACCUUAGGGAUAACAGCGUAAUUUUAUUUAAGAGUUCAUAUCUAUAAUAAAGUUUGCGACCUCGAUGUUGAAUUAAGAUAAUAUAUUGGAGUAGAAAUUAAAUAUGAUUAGUCUGUUCGACUAUUAAAUUCUUACGUGAUC
RNAcentral lists this ribosomal RNA (500 nucleotides) under Blastopsocus lithinus. RNAcentral's name for it is "partial 16S ribosomal RNA". It matches the Rfam family "Bacterial large subunit ribosomal RNA", at positions 1829 to 2605 of the family's 2925-position model. The record is from RNAcentral. Lineage: Eukaryota; Metazoa; Arthropoda; Insecta; Psocodea; Psocidae.